CAUGUCCUUUUGAUAAUUAUUUAAGGUCUGACCUGCCCACUGAGUUUUUGAAGGGCCGCGGUAUUUUGACCGUGCAAAGGUAGCAUAAUCAUUAGUUUUUUAAUUGAAAGCUGGUAUGAAUGGUUGGACGAGAAAGUUACUGUCUCUAUUUAAUUUAUGUUAGAAUUUUAUUUUUAAGUUAAAAAGCUUAAAUUUUUUUAAAAGACGAGAAGACCCUAUAGAGUUUUAUAUAGAUGCUUUUGUUCAUUAUUAGGUAUAUAGAUUUUGCAUUAUGUUUCUAUAUUUUAUUGGGGUGAUAAAAAGAUUAAAUUAACUCUUUUUUUAUUUUUACACUGAUAUGUGAAUAUUUGAUCCAAGUAUUUUGAUUAUAAGAUUAAAUUACCUUAGGGAUAACAGCGUAAUCUUUUUAAAGAGUUCUUAUCGAAAUAAGGGAUUGCGACCUCGAUGUUGGAUUAAAGUUAAUUUUUGGUGUAGAAGCUAGAAAAUUGAGUCUGUUCGACUUUUAAAACUUUACAUGAUCUGAGU
This 525-nucleotide ribosomal RNA is filed under the name Paralichas pectinatus. RNAcentral's name for it is "partial 16S ribosomal RNA". It matches the Rfam family "Bacterial large subunit ribosomal RNA", at positions 1816 to 2610 of the family's 2925-position model. Lineage: Eukaryota; Metazoa; Arthropoda; Insecta; Coleoptera; Ptilodactylidae. The record is from RNAcentral.